AGUGAACGCUGGCGGUAGGCCUAACACAUGCAAGUCGAACGGCAGCACAGUAAGAGCUUGCUCUUACGGGUGGCGAGUGGCGGACGGGUGAGGAAUACAUCGGAAUCUACUUCUUCGUGGGGGAUAACGUAGGGAAACUUACGCUAAUACCGCAUACGACCUACGGGUGAAAGCAGGGGAUCUUCGGACCUUGCGCGAUUGAAUGAGCCGAUGUCGGAUUAGCUAGUUGGCGGGGUAAAGGCCCACCAAGGCGACGAUCCGUAGCUGGUCUGAGAGGAUGAUCAGCCACACGGAAGCGGAGACACGGUCCAGACCCCACGGGAGGGCACCGGGGGGAAAUAUGGAACAAGGGGCGCAAGCUGAACCCAGCAUUACGGCGGGGGGAAAGAAGGCCUUGGGGUUGAAAACCCCUUUUGUGGGGAAAAAAAGGCAGCGGGUUAAUACCCCGCGGUUCUAACGUAACCCAAAGAAUAAACACCGGCUAACUUGGG
RNAcentral lists this ribosomal RNA (491 nucleotides) under uncultured bacterium. RNAcentral describes it as "partial 16S ribosomal RNA". It matches the Rfam family "Bacterial small subunit ribosomal RNA", at positions 29 to 506 of the family's 1533-position model. The record is from RNAcentral.